Long non-coding RNA from Amphiprion ocellaris (clown anemonefish), 3473 nucleotides. RefSeq lists it as uncharacterized. NCBI's taxonomy places the organism in Eukaryota, Metazoa, Chordata, Actinopteri, Pomacentridae. The record is from RefSeq and is a predicted model, not a curated record. The transcript is spliced from 3 exons.
AACCUUAUGUGAAAUAUAAUUUAAGCAAAAGACAGAGAUCCCUGUGAGCACAGUUACGGUCAGGAACAUUACCAUCAGCUUUAGUAAUGCUACUCCAGAGAAGGACAGACUGUUUGCUGUGUAAUUUAGAUGAAGUUGAGAAUGAGGUUAAUUUUAUAUUUUACUGUCCUGUAUAUGAAGAUAUCAGGGAGGUACUUUUCAGGACGAUGUCUUCUGUUUAUUUUGGUUUCUUUUGGUUGCAUGACCAUGAAAAACUAGAGUUAUGUUUUAGAAGAGGAACCUUUUUCAUUGCAGAAUUUCUUUGCCAGGCCUGGGAUAAAAGGCAACAUAUUUAGUUUAAGGACUGAGCAGCAGAAUAAUGUGUGUUUCGGAUGUAUUGCUGCAAUGCUAGUACAUUGGUGUCCUGUAAACCCAUGAGGGGUGGGCACGGUUGUGUGCAAGACAUGAAAAUAAAUAAAUCAGUCAGUCAAUUAUAUUAAGGAAAUUAUUCCAUGUGAGCACUUUAUGACAUGGAACUGAAUGCCCUCAUGAAUGAACAUGUCUUAAAAAUAUUUUAUAAUCUUUUUUAGAUUGACAGGAACCUAGUGAGAACUGCUUUUUGAAAUAUUUAAUGCCUAGAAAUCCUACUGUGACAGUGAUAUUUACAAUAAACCUAAGUGGCUUAGUGCACAUUAAUAUGGACAUUUUUACCUGCAAAUUCACUGUUCCCUCUAAGCUGCGCGCGUGCGCGCACUGCUGACACGGUCUCCGCGCACAGAAAAUCUGCUGUGCACACAAAAAAAAUCCAACCUAAAUUGUAAAUAAAAUAAACACGUAACAAUUCAUUCUGUGCUAUUUUUCAGUGUGAGUCAGUGAGUGACCAGUGACUGGCUGCUGCAGCCAAUGAUGCGAUUCACAUACGUAUUUACCAUAGACUGUAUAUAAUGGUAUUUACGCAGCUAAUCAACGUCAUGCGUCCUUAUGUGUAGCCAGCGUUGUUCUCAUAGAUAUGAAUGAGUAGAUAGGACACGCCCCUUUGAGCUGCGUGCUACAGCGAGGCUAAGCUAGUGGGGGCAAAGUUUCAGUGCAUUCCGUUGAUGUAGACGGCGUGAAAACGGAAACAAGUAUGCCGGCUCACUGUGCUGCAUACAAUUACACACUGCGUCGUACGAUUGAGACAAGGAAACUUGGAAUGACUUUUCAUAGGUUUCCCAGAGACUAUGGGUUGAGGAGGAAUUGGAAGUUUGUCGGCUUAGACCUGGUGUCAUUCCAUCAGUGUUAAACUUCCCGGCUCAUCUUGGAAGAGUACGUGCCAGAAAGACCACGACCAAGCAGCCUUGAGAUCUUAGACAGCGUCUCCCUGAGACCAAAGAACUACAGACUCUUCACAACCUGCUCAAACUCUUGGUACAGGACCUCACCACACGGGUCAAGAAGGUUUCUGUCUCAUUUCUACUCUGAAGCUCACCUUCUCCUGCUCAAACUGCUGACAAAUGUUUCUGCUGCUCUAAAGUCUGGUCUCCAGAACUUCCUAAAAACUCUCAAAGUCUCUUCUGCUGCAGGUUGCUUUGUAGAACUGUUCCAGAAAACCUCACUAAACCACAUGGAGGGGCCUCAAGAUAGUCAUCCAAAUGAAACCGUACAAAAACCAAACUAGCACAACCCAAACGCUAAAGUCUCCUGCAGUCUACCAGAGAACCUCUGAGAACAGAGAAUCAGGACAGGAACUCCUACCUUCUGGACAACCAACGCUGGUUCACAAACAAGAAUACAGAAUGUGUCUGACCAAAAACCUCUGAAGACUCACUACAGCCAAGAUAAAGACACAACUCAGCUGUACCAAAUCCACUAAUCACUGCACACAUUAGCACCAUGUACUAACUGUGGCUAAAGAACCACAUUUACCAAGACAACUAUCCAGUACAAAGCCCUAAAACACACCAAGAAACACAUUAAAGUCUAUUUUACUGCUGGAAGCUGCAAGCCAACGCCUAACAAACUAAAGCAACGGAACCAAACCCAGUUCAGUGGAGAGAAGCAGAGGAAAUGUUUGUCUGCAACUAAAUAAAGCAGGAAGACACUGAGCUGCUCAGGUGUUCCUGAUAACACCAAGCAGCCACCUGGACAGCCAAUAGGAACACAGCUUACUGGAAGUCCAGAGGGCUGGCUUAGUGAAGGAAAUUUGAUUUAAAGUUGAAGCAGAAAGUUAACAAAGAAAGUUGAAAACCACCUUCUGAUACCUGAAAUCUCUGAGUUUUCACACAAAGAACACCUGAACAUGUCAAACUGGUUCCAUAGAAGAACCAUCAUUGUAAAAACGUCAUAGUAUGGUGUGUUGCUCAAAAAACAUUAAGACCUGGCUGUCAGGGGACAAACAUGUAAGAAACAUGAGAACAGAGAGAAUCCAACCAGUAGGUCACAGUUUAUCAUCCCCCAGUCUUCUCCUGAAGUCCAUAUGGUGAGAGACAUCAGUAUCUGGUUGUUCAUUUACCAGAGGAUGCUUAUAAUCAUGCUGAUGUGGUCUGUACUCUACAGUAUUUUAGUGACUCAAUAAAUGCCUAAGUUGUUUUUUUUUUAAUGCUUUUCAGUUUUUAAUAAACAUUUAAGAGCCUAUAUGUAAUCAAUAAAUGGCCUUUGCCUAUCUUAAGAAAAAUUCACUCAGAACUCUGAUAUGUUAACAGUACUAAAUAAAUCAAUAAAUACAUGCAUACACACAAAAAUAAGUUAAUACAUUAACUGUGUUAAGAUAAGAUUUAGAUUUUUAAAAAGUUGUUUAUGUUUUUUGCAGAAUCCAGUAUUGCUCACUGGUUGGUCAUUACAUUUUGUUAGUUUGAUUUCACUGUUUAAAAUGAUGCCACCUCUUUUCAGACAGAACCUGUGAUAAUAAAACAAUACAAUAUUUUUAGUUCCGUGUUAAUAAAGCACUUAAAGCUUUAAGUAUGGCUAAAUGCUUUUUUCAAAAUUAAAUAUAUCACUCCUUAGGUGGUAGUGGCCCCAAGUUCAGUAAAGUUGGAAAGAUAUUCACAGAUUCGGACUUCCAGCAUCAAUAACUCGUUAGAUAUAGGUUGUCAAAACAUAAACGGUGCCUCUUUCCCAUUGUUGCAAGGCAGACAAUGUGCUACAAGCCCAGUUUUAUCAAAAGUAGCUGUCUUUCAAGCUACAGGAAUAACAUUGGUGUCUAUGGAGUGAACAGGGUCCGUCUGCAAUUUGCAAAACCGCUGCAACAGUAAAGAGAGACAAAUAUUCAAUAACUUCACUCUUAUACAUUGUAGUGUCACUAAAAUCACUGCAGCCUUCAACUGGCUCCUGUUGACAAAGUGUUUUAACAGAAAUGUAAAUGCUGUAAUUUGAUUCUUUUAAUGAACCAUGUAACUUGAAUGGAUGUGAUGCUGGUGUGACCACAGUGCACACGUCUGAUGUUGCUCACAGUGGUCCAAGGGACGCUCAGGGAGUUUGUGUGUUUGCUCAGACUCAGGAAAAAUUACAGGGAACAU